RNAcentral lists this ribosomal RNA (451 nucleotides) under uncultured bacterium. Its description in RNAcentral is "bacterial SSU rRNA". It matches the Rfam family "Bacterial small subunit ribosomal RNA", at positions 29 to 523 of the family's 1533-position model. The record is from RNAcentral.
AACGAACGCUGGCGGCAUGCCUAACACAUGCAAGUCGAACGAGACCUUCGGGUCUAGUGGCGCACGGGUGCGUAACGCGUGGGAAUCUGCCCUUGGGUUCGGAAUAACAGUUAGAAAUGACUGCCAAUACCGGAUAAUGUCUUCGGACCAAAGAUUUAUCGCCCAGGGAUGAGCCCCGCGUAGGAUUAGCUAGUUGGUGAGGUAAAGGCUCACCAAGGCGACGAUCCUUAGCUGGUCUGAGAGGAUGAUCAGCCACACUGGGACUGAGACACGGCCCAGACUCCUACGGGAGGCAGCAGUGGGGAAUAUUGGACAAUGGGCGAAAGCCUGAUCCAGCAAUGCCGCGUGAGUGAUGAAGGCCUUAGGGUUGUAAAGCUCUUUUACCCGGGAUGAUAAUGACAGUACCGGGAGAAUAAGCCCCCGGCUAACUCCGUGCCAGCAGCCGCGGUAA